AAUCUUAGGCAAAUGGGCUUUCCACUUGGCAGGUGCCAUGUUGCCUGCUCCUUACUCUACACGUGGCUGGCAAAGAGACGGGAACAUGAAGCCGCCAUUUUGAACAUGCCUAG
Molecule: microRNA precursor, 113 nt
Organism: Chlorocebus sabaeus (green monkey)
Lineage: Eukaryota; Metazoa; Chordata; Mammalia; Primates; Cercopithecidae
Source: Ensembl